AUCUCUCAAAACCCCCUUUUGUUUAAUUACGGAAGAGUAUAGGGCUUUGGAUGUUGACUGUGUAAUGCCGUUUAUAAUGGCUCAGUCGAAAUACAAGAGCUGAAGCUGAUAAUUGUAUUAUGGCUUACUCUGGACUUGGCGUGAUAAUUAUUUCGCUAAUGAACGAGUUUGUUAACGAUUAUCAAGCGGGCUAAUAAAGCACAACUUUUUAC
Molecule: unclassified non-coding RNA, 212 nt
Filed under: uncultured Sporidiobolales
Lineage: Eukaryota; Fungi; Basidiomycota; Microbotryomycetes; Sporidiobolales
Description: sequence contains ITS2
Source: RNAcentral